GCCCGGGUGGCUCAGUCGGUUAAGCAUCUGACUUCAGCUUAGGUCAUGAUCUCACAGUUCGUGGGUUCGAGCCUCACCUUGGGCU
Molecule: transfer RNA, 85 nt
Filed under: Felis catus (domestic cat)
Lineage: Eukaryota; Metazoa; Chordata; Mammalia; Carnivora; Felidae
Rfam family: tRNA
About the family: Transfer RNA (tRNA) molecules are approximately 80 nucleotides in length. Their secondary structure includes four short double-helical elements and three loops (D, anti-codon, and T loops).
Source: Rfam by way of RNAcentral